This 208-nucleotide unclassified non-coding RNA is filed under the name Hevea brasiliensis (rubber tree). The record is from RNAcentral. Lineage: Eukaryota; Viridiplantae; Streptophyta; Magnoliopsida; Malpighiales; Euphorbiaceae.
GGCCCUGCAAAAAUUCAGGGAUGGCUACAACAAUCAGCAAUCACCAAUCAGGUGUUGGUAUAUUGUUUGGCUAAGAAAUGAAGAUCAUCCUGCCAAAUUUGGAGGGGUUUGGGGUUUAAACCUUCCCAAUAUGCAUGGUAAUUAUCCCCGCUGGUGGAUUAAAACUGGUACUGUUUCUUUUCCCUGCUUAACAUUUGAUGUAUACGGU